AUUAUCAGCAAUACCACCUUAAAAUUGUCCAAUCUCAUCUGACUCUGAAGCUAAGCAGGGCUGGGCCUGGUUAGUACUUGGAUGGGAGACCGCUGGGAAUACCAGUAAACACAAGU
RNAcentral lists this ribosomal RNA (116 nucleotides) under Periophthalmus magnuspinnatus. Lineage: Eukaryota; Metazoa; Chordata; Actinopteri; Gobiiformes; Gobiidae. The record is from RNAcentral.